Molecule: ribosomal RNA, 503 nt
Filed under: uncultured bacterium
Lineage: Bacteria
Description: partial 16S ribosomal RNA
Rfam family: Bacterial small subunit ribosomal RNA
Source: RNAcentral
AUUGAACGCUGGCGGCAGGCUUAACACAUGCAAGUCGAGCGGGGUGAUGGUGCUUGCACUAUCACUUAGCGGCGGACGGGUGAGUAAUGCUUAGGAAUCUGCCUAUUAGUGGGGGACAACAUCUCGAAAGGGAUGCUAAUACCGUAUACGUCCUACGGGAGAAAGCAGGGGAUCACUUGUGACCUCGCGCUAAUAGAUGAGCCUAAGUCGGAUUAGCUAGUUGGUGGGGUAAAGGCCUACCAAGGCGACGAUCUGUAGCGGGUCUGAGAGGAUGAUCCGCCACACUGGGACUGAGACACGGCCCAGACUCCUACGGGAGGCAGCAGUGGGGAAUAUUGGACAAGGGGGGGAACCCUGAUCCAGCCAUGCCGCGUGUGUGAAGAAGGCCUUAUGGUUGUAAAGCACUUUAAGCGAGGAGGAGGCUCUUUUGGUUAAUACCCAAGAUGAGUGGACGUUACUCGCAGAAUAAGCACCGGCUAACUCUGUGCCAGCCGCCGCCGUAA